AGGGAAGGAAUCAGGUGGAUAGGGGCAAUGGAGGAACAAAGAAAAACAUUUGUAAUAUUCUCAACAAUAAAGAUUUAAAAAAAAAAAAGAAUAAAGGAGAAAAAGUAACAUUCAGGUAAGCUAAAACUAAGAGAACUUGCUAUUAAUGGAACACUCUAAGACUACUUUAAGUGUUUCAGAUGAAAUGAAAAUGCAGCUGAAAUUUUAACAUGCAGGAAGAAGCAAAGAGGUAGAGUGUGGUAAGAUGUGAGUAAAUCUUCAUAAACUUGAAUAUUUUAAAAUAAUAAUAAUAAUAAGAUAUACAGAAUUAGAAUAUGACAAAAAAAACUAUAAUUUAAAGGAAAGGAUAGAUUUCAAAUCUUAUAAGGUAUUUUUUAUCAUCUAAGAAAAAAUAAAGACUUUGAAUUGUCUUUUAACAAGCUCCUUAGUCUAUAAGAAGUUAAGAAUACAUAUUUUAAUGUUUAGGGUAUUCAAUUAAAGAAUAAAAACAGGGUAUAACAUAAAAAGCUACAGGGGGGAAAAAUAGAAUAAUUGAAAGAUCAACCAACCAGAAAGAAUGCAAAAAGUAGAGAAAAAGAAAAAGAAGAUGCACAAAAUAAGGGGUAGGUCAUGACUAAUGAUUUUAGUAAUUUAACCAUUUGUGUUUUAAAUGAUCUUGCUGUAGUACUAAGAUUAUAAGAUUAAAAAAUAAGCAUAAAAUUUGAAAACAAAUGGAUGGAAAAUGUACACACUGCAAUAAUAUUUAGAAGACUUGCUAGACAUAUAAGAUCACAUCAUUAUAGAAAAUAAUGGCCAAGAAAAUAAAACUAAAUCUACAUGGUUUUAAUAAGAUGGCAUUAAAUACAUAAAAGAAUGACAGAAGAAAACACAAGUUUAUGACCACAACAAGAGGUUUAAUAGUACUACUUGUAGCAAUGAAGAGAACAAUGGGCAAAAAUAAUAAGUAUAUAGAGGAAUGUAAUAAUAAUCAAUAUAUUUCAUUCAAGGGAACAGGCAAAUAAGCAAGUACAUUUUAAAAAUCAACCGAGUUCUAGACCAUAAAAAAGCCAGUCUCAAAAAAAUCACAAAAUUUAAAUUGUUCAACAUUUGGACUUUUACUACAAUGAAAUAAUGUGGGAAAUCAACAAGAAAAAGACAAAUAAAAUAUGCUUCUAUGGAAAUUUGGAAAUUUUAAAAAAUAGACUAAAAACCUAUGGGUCAGGAAUGUAAAAGAAUGCAUCUAUAUGUUCUCUGCAUUUAGAACUAUAUUUAUAGAAAACUAUACUUUCUCAAAAACAUAUGUUAGAAAAUAAGGAAGAAAGAAAUAAGCAUCUGACUUAAGAAAUAAAGUCAAUAAAAUGAAGAUAAUGACAAGAAAAGAAAUUGUGGUAUUCAAAUAAGCUCAGAGUAAAUAUAACAAAAAGCAAAAAGUUAAUUAAUUGAAAGGAAUAACAGAGUUUUAAUUCUCUGAAAAGACAAAUGAGGAAAAACAAAAGUUAGGUACAAAUGUCAAGAUUGAGAAAGGGACAACUCUUCAGAC
This is a long non-coding RNA of Pipistrellus kuhlii (Kuhl's pipistrelle), 1519 nucleotides long. RefSeq lists it as uncharacterized. NCBI's taxonomy places the organism in Eukaryota, Metazoa, Chordata, Mammalia, Chiroptera, Vespertilionidae. The record is from RefSeq and is a predicted model, not a curated record. The transcript is spliced from 2 exons.